Molecule: unclassified non-coding RNA, 2369 nt
Filed under: Hevea brasiliensis (rubber tree)
Lineage: Eukaryota; Viridiplantae; Streptophyta; Magnoliopsida; Malpighiales; Euphorbiaceae
Source: RNAcentral
CCCUCAUCGUUGAAUUAAAUUUUGUAGUCAAAAUUUGGUACAUAAUAUGCUUCCGUAAAAGGAAUAGCAAUGGAAAUCAAGUACAUAGCAUGCUUCCUUAAAAGGCAUUACAGAAUGUGGGCUGUCAUUAUAAUCAAAGUCACGGCAAUAUUGAGAAAAUGGUAACAAAAUUGUAAAAUGCUCUGUUACUGCAUUAAAAGGUGGAAGAACUAGACCCACAGACAAGUAAAGCAGUAUUUGGUAUCUUCCUAAGCUCCUCAUGUCGAACAAAAACUGAAAACUUCAAAACCUAUUACUAUAAAACACCAAAUACCUGCAUGGGACAACACAAACCGAGCGUAAGGAAUAAGGUAAUAUGAAGUUGAUACCUAUAAAUAAUGACUCACUCACCCCAGCCAGAAUGUCUUUUGAGAGUUGAGAUUUGCUUUCUUCCACUUUAUUUGCAACUGGUUUUGUCUGUGGGAAUUGACGGAUGACCUUCGGUGCUUGCUCACCAACAGAGAGUUGACCUCCUGACUCUUGUUGGACCUUUUGUUUCUUUUUUAAUCGUUCUUCUAUAGAACUCAAAGCACGAGAUUGAUCCACCUUAUUGAGAUAGAAAUCCCGCUCCCUCUUUGCAGCAGAAAUUUCUAGAGCUAAUUUCUGCUCCCGUAUAACACUCUUAUAUGCAAUUUCUUCUGUAAGAUCAUCCCACUUGAAUUUACUCAAGUAUUUGAUAUUCCAAAGGUCAUAAUAGAAUUGAGACCUCUUUCUGCCACCUAUUUGUUCACCAUUUAACAUAUUAGCAACCCUUUUUGCAAUGCUCUUAUUGGUAAAUUCAACCCACCCUUCAGAGAAUUCUUGACCUCGAAAUCCACCAGCUCUUUUGCGAUUUACUCGAGCAGUGGGAUCUUCAGGUGCAAGGUAGAUCCUCUGUAUUUCUCCAUAUUGGGAAAGAAUAUGACGAAGCUUUACAUGAUCCAUGUGGGGAGGGAUUUGACUUAAGUAGCAAACACCACGCUUGUCAGCCUUAGCAGCUUCCUUUAGUAACUGCUCUUUCUUCUUCUUCUUCUUUUUAAGCCUAUUGACCAUUUCAACAUUGGAUUUUGGAUCCUCUUCUUCUAUAGGAUUUAUUCCAAUGACCUCUUCUUCUUCCUUGCCUUUUGCAGUUUCAAUUUUUCCACCUUCAGCUGCUGGAUUCACCUCCUGUGGAAAACCCACUGUAUUAACAUCUUCCUCUUCAUCCUCAGCAGUUUUCUGUAAUAAUUGCCUUCUUGUUUCCUUUACUUUCUUUUUCCUCUCACCAUUAGAUUUUUUACUACCUUCCUUGCUUAAAGAAGCUUCCUCCAACAAUUUCUUCUUUAUUUUAUUUUUUCCACUUUUCACCCUCAUAUCACCAGCUUGUAAAUUCCCUCCAGCUGGAGGGCUGUGUUCAUUGAUCUCCUGUUCAUGCUCUGUUUUUACACUUUCCUGCGAUUGCUUUUUCUUUUUAUUCUUCCUACUUGUAGCCCUUUCUGCACUGGAAUUUGGACACCCUUCAUUCUGAGAACUCGACCCAUUAACCUUAUAUUCUUCAUUAGCCAUUCUGCCUAAUGAAAUAAAAUGAAAAUACAAUCUCACUUGCAGAGAAGGAAAUAUAUGCAGAUAGUUAAGCUAAUACAAACAAUUAAAUACUCUACAUUUUUAAUAUAAAAUAAAUGAAUAAAAAUGUGAAUUUUCCACCUGCAUUUGUAUAAAACAAAUGAGCGGUAACCUAUUCAUCAAAUCACAUUUAAAGCAUGUUCCACAUUCCAAAGCUACACAAUGCAUACAUUCUAGGUAUUGAAGAUGAAGCUUAACCUGUCCACUCAUUACUCUGGGUGAAAUCAAUACCAAGAAGGAGAUUUGGGGACUCAAGGCCUGCACGUUUAAGAGCAACAUUCACCUGACCCAAAGUUUUGCACUCAGCAGCAAGUGUUUCAGAGCAGAAGCUGAAAUAGUCUCCAAAAUAGGAUGACUGAGAAUAUCCAUAUGGACCCCUUGAAGAAGAAUUUGAACCCUCACAUGAGCUUUUGCCCACAGUUUGCUUCCCCAUUUUGGAAAGCUGAGCGUGAAAAAUUUUGGGGGUAUGGUCGGUGAGUAAUGGAAAUCGACAAGAUCUCAGAAUUCCUUUUUGUGAAGUAACAACACCCUUGAUCAGUUCCUCCUGCUAGAUCCUAUCAGCAUCAAUCAGCAGAACCCAAGAACCCGACUCAGUCGCCAGGAGAAGCAACAAGCUGUGAAGGAAUGAUCUCGAAAUUUAUGCUACUUGCGCUGGUUCAUACCCUAAACCGGAGUAUUGUAUAUUCUUGGGUAUAAUUUUCCUUAAGCGGGUGGGCUUCAAUUGAUCCAAUGCCAGACAGACAGCAAUA